GACGAACGCUGGCGGCGUGCUUAACACAUGCAAGUCGAGCGGUAAGGCCCUUUCGGGGUACGACGAGCGGCGAACGGGUGAGUAACACGUGGGUGACCUGCCCUCAGCUCUGGGAGUAAGCCCGGGAAACCUGGGUCUAAUACCGGAUAUGACUUCAUGACGCAUGUUGUGGAGUGGAAAGCCUUGUGCGGCUGAGGAUGGGCCCGCGGCCUAUCAGCUUGUUGGU
RNAcentral lists this ribosomal RNA (226 nucleotides) under uncultured bacterium. Its description in RNAcentral is "partial 16S ribosomal RNA". It matches the Rfam family "Bacterial small subunit ribosomal RNA", at positions 28 to 253 of the family's 1533-position model. The record is from RNAcentral.